CCAGCAGGGCUCAGGGGGAUUAACCUUUCACAAGUAAGAUUUAACAUUACCGUCCUAUUUGUUGUGUUUUGUGAAAAGAAUAUUACCAGAGAGCAGAGAAGGAGCAAGUAUCUCACUGUAGUGAAAUGGUAGUCAGCUAGCUUGCCGAUGUUUAUUUCCCCGGCUGUUUUUCACCUGAUUAUGAACUGAGACUUGAUGAGUCAUAUUCCAUAACACUUAGAUUCAAACGGACACACUAAUGUUAUUGUAGAAAUAUAACCUAUCACUGGUAUAACAUUGGCCACACAACUUUCUUGUCAUGUGGAAUUAACGCAUGUUAAAGCAGCGUGCUAUGUAGCGAACUAGCUGCUGUGUUUGUGAUACUGAGCUCGCUGCAUUUCACUGUGUAGCAGCUUUUGUGUAGUGAAGCUUUAUUCAUGGCAGAGUAACUGUUAGCUUAGCUGAGUUCAAUGUGAAAGCAACUUGCCAACACAGUGUAUUAUUCACAUGUAAUUCAACAAAAGUAAGAUACCUCUCGUAUCUCAUAUCCCGCUUACUUACAAUAAAGGCAACAGAACAUCUGACCUUAGAAUGGUUUGCAAACAAGCUUAUUUACAAUUUCAGCAACUUUCGGUUCAUCAUCAACAAUAUUCAUCAACAUAGGAGUUUUGUUUAAGAAAGGUGAAGAAAGAAAAUAAGCUUGAACUUCUUUGUGAAAUGUUUUUGUGUAGACUCUCCCAAAUCUUCCGUUUUCAUUUUGAAGGUUUCCAAAGGACAAACAUGUGAGGAAGAAGUGGCUUUGAGGGGAGAUGGACUUACAGCAAGUGAUUCAUCAGUGCUUCGCUGUGAACACUUCAAGCAGAGGGACUUUGAUAAGACGGGUCAGAUUGUCCCACUCCGAGAUGGUGUUAUUCCAUCAGUCUUCAGCUUCCCGGUUCACCUCCAAAAAGUAGGCUAUUAGCAUUAGCAUUCAUAAAUUUACAUAUUCUAUUAUCAUCACAGGGCAGGGUGAGAUACUUAUCCCUUUUUAAUAUAUACAUAUAUAUGUAUGUAUGGUAAUAUGUCAGUGGGAAAAGGGCAGGUCUACCUCUACCUCCAGAAGACCUGAUGAAUGUCUGUCUGUGGCCUCUCAGGAUUCCCAAGAAAUGGCAACCUCACACCCACAGCCUCAGCCUAAGGAUGUGAAUAUUUCUACUUUAAACGUCAUAUAAUAAUGUUUUGGACAUAUUAGAAUCUCACUUGUUUGCUGCCACUCAUAUUACACACACACACACGUGAAGACACGUUGAACAUGCCUUCCUGACACACACACACGGUGCUGGCAGUGGCUUUGAGAGGCGAUGACUAUAAGUAGGCAUGUGGGCCAUAAACUAGUGUCAAAGUGAUGUUUGUGAAAUGAAACUUUACUCAAACCAUGUUCAUCUCUUUCAACUAGGAUCGUGGUCACGCCUGCUCCUCCUACCGCUCUUAAGACGAGACUCAACGAAGCCUUGGCAGGAGUGGGUUACAAGUGGAGAGUUACAUUCUGCACUGCAUGCAAAAAAAAACCACGUGAAAAUCAGCUGGGUGUUCAGUGAGGGAUGAUUAAUUGAAGGCGCUCACAGCUGAUUGCACCUGCAAACAGAUCAC
Gasterosteus aculeatus aculeatus (three-spined stickleback) is the source of this 1608-nucleotide long non-coding RNA. NCBI's taxonomy places the organism in Eukaryota, Metazoa, Chordata, Actinopteri, Perciformes, Gasterosteidae. The record is from Ensembl.